Molecule: small RNA, 76 nt
Filed under: Xanthomonas fragariae
Lineage: Bacteria; Pseudomonadati; Pseudomonadota; Gammaproteobacteria; Lysobacterales; Lysobacteraceae
Description: sX9 sRNA
Rfam family: Xanthomonas sRNA sX9
Source: RNAcentral
AUGUACCACGCGUACACUGCGGUUCCUGCGCGCCGUCCGCACCCAGCUGACGACUGCUCGCUACGUUUUGUUAGCC